GACGAACGCUGGCCGGCGUGCUUAACACAUGCAAGUCGAACGAAGAGCGAUGGAAGCUUGCUUCUAUCAAUCUUAGUGGCGAACGGGUGAGUAACGCGUAAUCAACCUGCCCUUCAGAGGGGGACAACAGUUGGAAACGACUGCUAAUACCGCAUACGAUCUAAUCUCGGCAUCGAGGAUGGAUGAAAGGUGGCCUCUAUUUAUAAGCUAUCACUGAAGGAGGGGAUUGCGUCUGAUUAGCUAGUUGGAGGGGUAACGGCCCACCAAGGCGAUGAUCAGUAGCCGGUCUGAGAAGAUGAACGGCCACAUUGGGACUGAGACACGGCCCAGACUCCUACGGGAGGCAGCAGUGGGGAAUCUUCCGCAAUGGACGAAAGUCUGACGGAGCAACGCCGCGUGAGUGAUGACGGCCUUCGGGUUGUAAAGCUCUGUUAAUCGGGACGAAAGGCCUUCUUGCGAAUAGUUAGAAGGAUUGACGGUACCGGAAUAGAAAGCCCGGC
RNAcentral lists this ribosomal RNA (500 nucleotides) under Veillonella dispar. Its description in RNAcentral is "bacterial SSU rRNA". It matches the Rfam family "Bacterial small subunit ribosomal RNA", at positions 28 to 496 of the family's 1533-position model. Lineage: Bacteria; Bacillati; Bacillota; Negativicutes; Veillonellales; Veillonellaceae. The record is from RNAcentral.